ACAUAUUACAACUACACCAUAAAGGCAUACCAUUUCUUAAAGAACACAUCCCAGGGUAUUUCAAAAGGCAUAUUUUGAACCUUAACGUGGGAUAAUUUUUCCGCUAGCUUGUACCAAGUGUAAUGGUAAUAAGCGUUUUUUUUGCCUUUUUGACACACAAAGUAAAUUUGCGCAGUACAUUUUGCAAAUCUUAUGUGUGCUACGACUGUAU
Non-coding RNA from Pelobates cultripes (western spadefoot toad), 211 nucleotides. The record is from the annotation of a GenBank genome assembly. NCBI's taxonomy places the organism in Eukaryota, Metazoa, Chordata, Amphibia, Anura, Pelobatidae.